This is a long non-coding RNA of Aegilops tauschii subsp. strangulata, 823 nucleotides long. RefSeq lists it as uncharacterized. The record is from RefSeq and is a predicted model, not a curated record. Lineage: Eukaryota; Viridiplantae; Streptophyta; Magnoliopsida; Poales; Poaceae.
CGUCCAUCCACUGCCGCCAUGGCUCGAUAGCCUCCACAUGCUCCCCCCCUCGGCGUAUUAAUGUGUCCAAGUGAAACCGUAGCACGCCCUCACCCGAUCCCCUCCUUUUGCCUGUCGCGCCCCCUCCUCCUCUACUAAAAUGAUGAGCCCAAGAGCUCACGCGGUGAUCAUGCCAAGGUCACCAGUGCCGUGGGCACCGGCCGCCGUUCCCCGUUUGCUGAUGCGCAAGUGAAGCGCGCCGUCGUCCUCUUCUUCCACGCCGAGCGCCACCAGCUAGGACGGCCCCGCACAGUCGCUCCCGUCGAUUCCCUCUGCUGGCAACCAUCGCUGUCCGCCGUCGAUUCGCUCGACCCCGACCUCCGCUGGCCUCACCGGCUGCUCCUCCUGACUCGUGUUCUUGAGACCCUGUUUUAGAUUCAUCCAAGCAUCCAUCCAUUCUUCAUCAAGCCGUCACAAGCAGGCAGGCAUGCAACAUGCCAACAUGCACAGACAAGAAUUUUCUGGAGUGAAUUUGGUUUUCAGUCGUGAGUCUGAGCUCUUACUGUAGUUAAGAGUUCAAAUCAAUAGCUGCCUAUUUUUGCAAGUUCAAAUUAAUGGAUGUGAACUAGUUUUUUUUCCUUUUGGAUUAGUCACUAAUAGUCUAGAGCAUUUCACUCUGCAACUGCAUUUUCCAGUUACGUGAAAUGCAUGAUCCAAAAAAAUUGCAGGACCAUCCACUCAUUGCAAGUAUACCCCCCUACUGUGAAAUGCUCUGUCUACGAAAACCGUGGCAAUCCUGUUUUUGCAAGUUUAAAUCAAUAGUGCCUGUUUUUGCAAGUUUAAA